AUUGAACGCUGGCGGCAGGCCUAACACAUGCAAGUCGAGCGGAUGAAGGGAGCUUGCUCCUGGAUUCAGCGGCGGACGGGUGAGUAAUGCCUAGGAAUCUGCCUGGUAGUGGGGGAUAACGUCCGGAAACGGGCGCUAAUACCGCAUACGUCCUGAGGGAGAAAGUGGGGGAUCUUCGGACCUCACGCUAUCAGAUGAGCCUAGGUCGGAUUAGCUAGUUGGUGGGGUAGAGGCCUACCAAGGCGACGAUCCGUAACUGGUCUGAGAGGAUGAUCAGUCACACUGGAACUGAGACACGGUCCAGACUCCUACGGGAGGCAGCAGUGGGGAAUAUUGGACAAUGGGCGAAAGCCUGAUCCAGCCAUGCCGCGUGUGUGAAGAAGGUCUUCGGAUUGUAAGCACUUUAAGUUGGGAGGAAGGGCAGUAAGUUAAUACCUUGCUGUUUUGACGUUACCAACAGAAUAAGCACCGGCUAACUUCGUG
This 483-nucleotide ribosomal RNA is filed under the name uncultured bacterium. RNAcentral's name for it is "partial 16S ribosomal RNA". It matches the Rfam family "Bacterial small subunit ribosomal RNA", at positions 30 to 507 of the family's 1533-position model. The record is from RNAcentral.